Long non-coding RNA from Mesocricetus auratus (golden hamster), 413 nucleotides. RefSeq lists it as uncharacterized. The record is from RefSeq and is a predicted model, not a curated record. The transcript has 3 exons. NCBI's taxonomy places the organism in Eukaryota, Metazoa, Chordata, Mammalia, Rodentia, Cricetidae.
UUCUCCUUUCCACUACGGACCCCAGACACAGCUCUGGUCGUCACAGGGGAAAGCGAGCUCUGCCUCAUGUCAAGAUUCUUCAUCCCAUGUGAUCAAGGCUGGGUCCCUCCUCGCUGCAACUGUCCAGCGUGGAUGUGCUGUGCAGCCAACUCCUAGUUCCUGAGGUCUCCAGCUAAACUCCUGAAGACAUGACUCCACCCCAUUUCCAAUCUCACCCUGACUCUCAGGCUUCAGGACAAAGAAUGAUCCUUGCUGCACUAGAGUAGUCAGGCUUCAGGAAGUCACAGAAUGGAUGAUGCCACUGAGAUGAUGCUGUGCUCCUUGCAUGCUCUGGAAAAAAUCCAGCAGAGACGUCGUCAUUGGGACAACCCGGAGACCUGAAGAAUAAAUAAUAAAAGUAGUCCUGAAGUUGU